CAAGUGGUCAUAAAGCCACACAGGAAUCAUUAGGGAAGAUCUCAUCUAGGCACUUCCAGCUGGCUAUAGCAAAGGCAUUUCUGUCUUCUCCCCAGAAUACUGAAGGAAGUAGAAGAGAAAUUUGACUACCGUGGCUCGUACUAUUAAACUGGAAAUUCAAAUGAUGCAACUGGAUAAUAAGCUACUGAAACUAUACAGGAUUAUUUAGCUUUCUUGUUAUCUAAAUUCAUGCCUUGCUAGUGCUUCUAUUUGCUGCUAUGGUGGAACCACAAUUAGAAGAGUAUCCUCAGAUGAGCAACAUAACACCUUUCCCAAACAAUAAUGAAAGAAGAUCUGUAAAAUUCAUAAGAAAUUAUUUUCCACUGAUGAAUGCUUACAUGCUGGAAAUGCUAAGAUACACACUCAGCAGUAGGCAUACAAACAGCCCAAUUGUCUUCACGUUAUAUUAAAUAUGUAUGCAAGUAUUUGUUGAGGCUGGAUCUUUGUAGAUGUAAGAUAUAGUAGUUUUUAAAGGUAAAUAACCCUCUUAUAAAGUUUAGCCAGCAAAAUGCACAUGGAAAAUAAACUUCUUUAGUUUCUUUGCUUU
Molecule: long non-coding RNA, 586 nt
Organism: Tympanuchus pallidicinctus (lesser prairie-chicken)
Lineage: Eukaryota; Metazoa; Chordata; Aves; Galliformes; Phasianidae
Exons: 3
Source: RefSeq, a predicted model, not a curated record